GCUCUACAGUCUUGAGGAGUGACAUCAAGAAAGACGUCUGUGUAAGGCAGGACACACUGCCUGUGGGUUUGUUGGCAUCCCAGAGGCCAGAGGAUGUUUGCCUUGUGGCCAGCAGAGGGCACUGUGGGGUGACCUGAGAGUGAGGGUGCUGGGCCUGACAGCUGGUCAACCACUCAGCUGGCCCCAGGGAAGUGGGGUCAAUGGUGUCCUCACUGAUGUGAGACUUUCCUGCACCUGUGAUGCACCCUAUGACCUCAAGAGCUCCUGCAUCUGGCACCCUCCACCCAUUCCAUCUGAAUUAGCUCACCUCCUCCUUUUCCUCUGUGUGGUCCUUGCUUUCCUCUGGUCCAAGCAAGGGCUCAUGGACAGAAGGAGCCAGAAAGUGCUUGCAUGGACUAUGCUGGCUCCCAGAGUGGAGCCUCAGAAGAAAGAGCUCUGAGGCCUCAUCAUCAGGCUCCCUAAGUUCUUGGACAGGGUUUAGGGAAAGGGGACCCUGGAAUACAGAGAACCUGCCUUUCUCCUCUUGGCCUCAGAGGACCAGGGUCCUGGCUGGGCUUGGCAAAGACUCCUGCUCACAGGGUGCUGUGAUGUCCUGGCAGCUGCUUCCCCCUGGGGAUCCCCCAAGAGGCACACUGUGUAGCCCUGCCCAUCAUCUGCCUCUAACCUCAAGACCCUCAGCUCAGGGAAAAUGGGGCAGAGAGAAGGUGGGGCCUAAUUUGCAUGACCAGCCCCUCUUUGCUGAGACCAAUAAGGAUGAAUAAGAGCAGCCCAGGUGCAUUGGGAGCUUCACAGACUGUGUCCACCAUGGCCUGGACACCUCUCCUCCUUGGGCUCCUCUCUUACUGCACAGGUUCCCUCUCCCAGCCUGUGCUGACCCAGCCACCCUCCCUCUCUGCAUCCCUGGGAACAUCUGUGAGACUCACCUGCACCCUCAGCAGUGGCUUCAGUGUUGGCAGCUAUACCAUAUCCUGGUACCAGCAGAAGCCAGGGAGCCCUCCCCAGUAUCUCCUGAGCUACUACUCAGACUCAAGCAAGCACCAGGGCUCCAGGGUCCCCAGCCGCUUCUCUGGCUCCAAGGAUGGUUUGGCCAAGGCAGGCCUUCUGCUCAUCUCUGGUCUGCAGCCUGAGGACGAGGCUGAAUAUUACUGUGCUAUUGCUCAUGGCAGUGGGAGCAGCUACAGUUCCUCACGGUGACUCAGAAGACGAGGAAGUGAGACAAAAACCCCAGGACCCACAGACCUUAGUUCUCUUUUCAAUGAGAGUCUGAGGAGGAGGCAUCUGUAGGGAGACGUCUGUGCACCAAGAUCUCUCCUUGAGUGGGGAAAUAAAAACACAGGUUAUGCCUGCAAAGUGAAACAGAACAGGACUUCUUAGGGAGACACAACCAGAUGAGGAAAUAGACCUUAUCUGCCUCAUAGGUACAGGAAUAAUUUAAUAAGAUUAGAUACUGUUGUCUCUAAAUGCUGACCAAUUCAGUCAUGUUCAUCCAUAAAUCUGUUCCUCAUCUUAUUUCUUAAAGUGUGAGUCUUGCGUUACUGGUGAUAGAACUGUAGCUGAUAUAUUUCUACUUCCCCUGGUCACAGACAUAUUUUCCACUCUAAGAACCAGCCCCAAACAACAAACUGAUCACAUCUUCCAUGACCACUCCCUGAUAAGAUCCCUCCAAAGCAUCCUCUCCUCUUCUGCUCAUCUGCUGCUGCAGUCCCUGAGGCCUUUCUGAGAUGUCCUUUUGGGGAUCUUCAGGUCUUUACUCCAUCUUCACUGAAUGUUUUCAGACAAAAAGAAAAUGUUGCAUUCUCCAGAAACUCCCUACUCCAUGGAGGAUAGUUACCAGGAUCUUAGACCAACAUACAGCUCUCCAUAUUCAUACUGCUACCAUCUGCCACAACAUCUGUUUAUCUGAUUCCCAUCAUCCUCAAUCAAACUCUUUAAUAUCUUAAU
This is a non-coding RNA of Choloepus didactylus (southern two-toed sloth), 1941 nucleotides long. The record is from the annotation of a RefSeq genome assembly. NCBI's taxonomy places the organism in Eukaryota, Metazoa, Chordata, Mammalia, Pilosa, Megalonychidae.